Oryctolagus cuniculus (rabbit) is the source of this 9862-nucleotide non-coding RNA. Lineage: Eukaryota; Metazoa; Chordata; Mammalia; Lagomorpha; Leporidae. The record is from RefSeq and is a predicted model, not a curated record.
ACUUCCGGUGACGCCGGAGGUCAGAGGUGACAGGCAAGAUGUCGGUGGCUAGGCGCUUGGAGCAGUUGCGGAGUAGAGCCUCCGUGUGACUGAAGUUCCGCGGCGGCUGGCCGGCCGGAGCCGGAGCUAAGGAGCCGUUCGAGGCGGCGGCGAUCCGGCCGCGGGGCGUGACUUUGGGGACCGUGAGGGGUUGGGAAGCGCCGGGUCCCCGGGACCUGGAAUGCCUCGCAGCCCCCAGUGAAGCCGGGAAGUCCAGCUCCGCGGGACCGCUUCAUGCCGCCGACUGGUUUAGAGCCCACCAGAAUGAACAGGAAGAAAGGAGACAAGGGUUUUGAAAGCCCAAGGCCGUAUAAAUUAACCCAUCAGGUCGUCUGCAUCAACAACAUAAACUUCCAGAGAAAAUCCGUUGUGGGAUUUGUGGAACUGACUAUAUUUCCUACAGUCACAAACUUGAACAGAAUCAAGUUGAACAGUAAACAGUGUAGAAUAUAUCGAGUAAGGGUCAACGAUUUGGAAGCUGCUUUUAUUUAUAAUGAUCCAACCUUGGAAGUUUGUCACAAUGAAUCAAAACAGAGAAAUCUCAAUUAUUUUUCCAAUGCUUAUGCAGCUGCGGUUAGUGCUGUGGAUCCUGAUGCAGGAAAUGGAGAACUUUGCAUUAAGGUUCCGUCAGAACUGUGGAAACAUGUUGAUGAGUUAAAAGUCCUGAAGAUACACAUUAAUUUUUCUUUGGAUCAACCAAAAGGAGGUCUUCAUUUUGUGGUACCCAGCAUAGAGGGAAGUAUGGCAGAGAGAGGUGCUCAUGUUUUCUCUUGUGGGUAUCAAAAUUCCACAAGAUUUUGGUUCCCAUGUGUUGAUUCAUACUCUGAACUGUGUACAUGGAAAUUAGAAUUCACAGUAGAUGCUGCAAUGGUGGCUGUUUCCAAUGGAGAUCUGGUGGAGACAGUAUAUACCCACGAUAUGAGGAAGAAGACCUUCCAUUAUAUGCUCACCAUUCCUACAGCAGCAUCAAAUAUUUCCUUGGCCAUUGGACCUUUUGAAAUACUUGUAGAUCCAUAUAUGCAUGAGGUUACUCAUUUUUGUUUACCACAACUUCUUCCACUGCUUAAACAUACAACAUCAUAUCUUCAUGAAGUCUUUGAAUUUUACGAAGAAAUUCUUACAUGUCGAUACCCAUAUUCCUGUUUUAAGACCGUGUUCAUUGAUGAGGCUUAUGUUGAAGUGGCUGCUUAUGCUUCCAUGAGCAUUUUCAGUACAAAUCUUUUACACAGUGCCAUGAUUAUAGAUGAGACACCUUUGACUAGAAGGUGUUUAGCUCAGUCCUUGGCUCAGCAGUUUUUCGGAUGUUUCAUAUCUAGAAUGUCUUGGUCUGAUGAAUGGGUGCUAAAAGGGAUUUCAGGAUAUAUUUAUGGACUUUGGAUGAAAAAAACUUUUGGUGUUAAUGAGUACCGCCAUUGGAUUAAAGAGGAACUAGACAGAAUAGUGGCGUAUGAACUGAAAACUGGUGGAGUUUUACUACAUCCCAUAUUUGGUGGCGGAAAAGAAAAGGAUAAUCCAGCAUCCCAUCUACAUUUUUCAAUCAAGCAUCCACAUACAUUGUCCUGGGAAUAUUAUACUAUGUUUCAGUGUAAAGCUCACCUUGUGAUGAGAUUGAUUGAAAAUAGAAUCAGUAUGGAAUUCAUGCUACAAGUUUUCAAUAAACUGCUAAGUCUAGCCAGCACUGCUUCAUCUCAGAAGUUCCAGUCACAUAUGUGGAGUCAGAUGUUGGUUUCCACAUCUGGGUUUUUGAAAUCCAUUUCAAAUGUCUCUGGCAAAGACAUCCAGCCUUUAAUAAAGCAGUGGGUAGACCAGAGUGGGGUGGUAAAAUUUUAUGGAAGUUUUGCAUUUAACAGAAAACGAAAUGUCUUGGAAUUGGAAAUAAAGCAAGAUUAUACAUCUCCUGGAACUCAGAAAUAUGUGGGACCACUUAAAGUGACAGUGCAGGAAUUAGACGGAUCCUUUAAUCAUACAUUGCAAAUAGAAGAAAACAGCCUUAAGCAUGAUAUUCCCUGCCAUUCUAAAAGCAGAAGGAAUAAGAAAAAAAAGAUCCCACUGAUGAAUGGAGAAGAAGUGGACAUGGAUCUUUCUGCAAUGGAUGCUGAUUCCCCUUUGCUGUGGAUAAGGAUAGAUCCAGAUAUGUCAGUAUUAAGGAAGGUAGAAUUUGAGCAGGCUGAUUUUAUGUGGCAGUAUCAACUCCGCUAUGAGAGGGAUGUUGUUGCUCAGCAGGAAUCCAUAUUGGCCUUGGAAAAAUUUCCCACUCCAGCAUCUCGGCUUGCACUCACUGACAUAUUAGAACAAGAGCAGUGUUUCUACCGAGUAAGAAUGUCAGCUUGCUUCUGCCUUGCAAAGAUUGCAAAUUCAAUGGUGAGCACAUGGACAGGACCACCAGCCAUGAAGUCACUGUUUACUAGAAUGUUUUGUUGCAAAACUUGUCCAAACAUUGUGAAAACAAACAACUUUAUGAGCUUUCAAAGUUACUUUCUACAGAAGACUAUGCCAGUUGCAAUGGCUUUAUUAAGAGAUGUUCAUAACCUUUGUCCCAAAGAAGUCUUAACAUUUAUUUUAGACUUGAUCAAAUAUAAUGACAACAGAAAAAACAAGUUUUCAGAUAAUUAUUACCGUGCAGAAAUGAUUGAUGCCCUGGCCAACUCUGUUACUCCUGCAGUUAGUGUGAAUAAUGAGGUUAGAACUUUGGAUAACCUCAAUCCUGAUGUGAGACUCAUUCUUGAAGAAAUCACUAGGUUUCUGAAUAUGGAAAAACUUCUCCCAAGUUAUAGACAUACCAUCACUGUCAGUUGUUUGAGAGCCAUACGGGUGCUUCAGAAGAAUGGACAUGUGCCAAGUGAUCCAGCUCUUUUUAAAUCUUAUGCUGAAUAUGGCCACUUUGUGGAUAUUAGGAUAGCAGCUUUAGAAGCAGUUGUUGAUUAUACUAAAGUGGACAGGAGUUAUGAAGAACUGCAAUGGCUACUUAAUAUGAUUCAGACCGAUCCUGUACCCUAUGUAAGGCACAAAAUUCUGAACAUGUUGACUAAGAACCCUCCAUUUACAAAGAACAUGGAGUCUCCCUUAUGCAAUGAGGCCCUGGUGGAUCAACUUUGGAAACUCAUGAAUUCUGGUACUUCACAUGACUGGAGGUUGCGAUGUGGUGCUGUGGACUUGUACUUCACUCUGUUUGGCCUUAGUAGACCUUCGUGUUUACCCUUGCCAGAGCUUGGAUUGGUUCUUAAUCUAAAGGAGAAAAAAGCUGUUCUGAAUCCUACCAUUAUUCCAGAGGCCAUAGCAGGCACCCAGGAAACUACAAGUAAUCCAGGCAGCCAUGCACAACUGGUUGCAUUUCAGAAUCCUUUUUCAAAUUCUCAAGAUGAAGAGGAAAUUGAUAUGGAUACUGUUCAUGAUAGCCAGGCCUUCAUUUCUCAUCAUCUGAACAUGCUUGAAAGGCCAUCCACUCCAGGGCUCUCUAAGUAUCGGCCAACUACCUCCCGGUCUUUAACAUCCCAGCAUUCAUCAGGCUGUGAUGGCACACCCUCCACAAAACCCCAGUGGAGUAUGGAACUUGCACGGAAGGGAACAGGUAAAGAACAAGCGCCUUUGGAAAUGAGCAUGCAUCCAGUGGCAGCAGCUCCGCUCUCGGUGUUUGCUAAGGAGUCUGCAUCCUCCAAACACAGUGAGCACCAUCACCACCAUCACCACGAGCACAAGAAAAAGAAGAAGAAGCACAAGCACAAGCACAAGCACAAGCACAAGCAUGACAGCAAAGACAAGGACAAGGAGCCCUUCGCUUUCUCCAGCCCUGCCAGCGGCAGAAUUAUAUUCUUCAUCCAGCUAUAAUCCAUGUGAAAUUUAUUUUGAUAAAAGGAAUCCCUGACAGUUGUCUACUUUGUGGUGUUUAGUUAAACCCAGGUGUAUGAGACAACAAAAUGGAGGACUAUAAUAAAAUGGUUAGUAAGUUCCUGUCCUCAAGGAUCACACCACCCAGAAUUCAUUCUUCUUCAUUGUACAAGGGACUUUGAAAAAAUAAAUGGAAAAUGUAAUUAACAUCAGGAAAAUGUUCUGCGAACAUUUUGAAGGCCCCUUGUAUGGGCUCACCAUAGUUCUGAGGUAUUACUGUGUUUGACAUUUACUGCUGGAAUAUUUGGAACAUUGGUUAAAUGUACACUGAUGUGUGUUCACUUAAGUGACAUUUUUAUCUAGACUGGUACAGUAAUUACAAGUUUGCAUGCCCCUGUAUAGAUUGUGCAACUUUUGUACAAAGAUGAGUGGCAUAAAAUUUCAUUUUCUUACAAGCAUGGAAAAAUAGCCUCUACCGGACUUUUUUCCCCCAAAAUAUUUGGGAGAGCUGGUUGCCUAUAGCAGAUCUUCUGUAUACAUAUCUGUUAGGUAUUGUAAAUACAGUAGAGAAUGAAGAAAGGACCCAGCAAAUUAGAUGAGCCCAAAAGGUUAACAAGUUUUGUUAUUUGUCAAGAUAAACUUUUAUCUCAAAACAUGUUACAUGGGUGUGACAGUCUUUCUCAUUUGAUUGUGAGUCACUGAGCACAGGGGUCAUGUUGUUGUCCUGUUUGUGAUACUUGUUCUCCCUUAGACAUCUGUGCCACUACGAGACACUUUUUGUGCUUAAUGGGGACUCUGUUUUUAUUGAAUUGAAGAUGAAGGAGGAAGGUGAUUUUAUCAGACAGAGUAAAUAAUAUUUUAGAGAGAUUAUGGGUUUGGAAAGCAGGGAACAUGCUGUGUCUGUCCUGACUUUGUGAGUACCUAGUGUUUUGACCUGAAUAAAUCACCUAACCUCACUGGGGCCAGUUUCCUUGAAAAAUGAAAACCUUAUUGCAGGGUUUCUUGCCAGCUGCCAAACACCUUUGAUUAUUCUGUUACCACUAUGUUGUAAGUACAUAGAGAAUGUUUCAUGUUGUAUAGGAGAAUCUAGGUUAUACAAAUUUUCAUUUUAGUUUUUAAACAUAUGCAGCCUUGAUUUUAUCUGAAUUUUCUAAAAAGACAGAUUUCAGCCUCGGACCCUCUGUGUAUACUCUGAGCGUGUGUAUAAGGUACUGUGUAGUUAGACAUUGUGUGAGCGUGAGCGUUUUUACUUGACUGUGAACUAUUUUUUUUUUGUUACCUCUUUGGACAGAUCUAUUUUUCCCUUCAAGACCAGUUCACAGUGAUGCUCAUCAGCUGUUAUGAUUUGCUUUUAGAACUUUUACAGACUCCUCAGUCAUCAAAGCUCACACCAAGCCAGUAGAUGCCUGCUGAGAGGGAGGGAGAUCUGUGGAGAAUGUAAGGCCCUUGUCUACAAAGAGGAUAUGUUCUAGCACUAGAGAUACGAUGUCUAUAUGAAUAGCGUCAAUAGGAACUUGAACACUUAGUUUAAAAUCAAUAUGAAACUAACGAGAUAGCUUAAGGCAGACCAUGCUGGAAGCAGGGGAAGCCUACUCAAGUUCUCUGCUCCAAUUACAAAUGCACUCUAAAAGUUUCUAUUAAAGAUUGUUUAAUUGCAUGGAUCUUGAAAAUUCUAGGUCCUACCUAUAGUCCUCUUGUCCUUGAAAUCCAGUGCCUGGAAUGUUUAUCGAGGACUGAGAGAAAAUGUUAAGACUGACUGUGAUUCCCAAAUACUAAUCUAUCCAUCUCAAAUGAGAAAAGUGAGGGACUGGAAUUCUGAUAAAAAUUCAUCUCAUGUAAAUACUUCCUUUAAUCUCAAGGAUAAUUAUAUCUGUCCUACUUGUUUGAUGUUAAAAACUUUUUAUGAAAUGAUGAUAGUGGUAGGUGGUUGGUUGUUGUGAUUGUUAUGUUAAUGUUCUUACUUGGCAAAGUAACAUUUGAUAAUCCUUAAAUUCCCCAAGUUUUGCAACCACUGCUAUCAGGCUUUGUAAGACAUGGUGUGUGUCUUCAUGGAGCUUAUCUUCUGCUCUUUCACCCUCUGGGAGGAAGUCAAGUUGGUAAUACUCUUCUGAAUUUAUGAUUGAGCAAGCAGACUUGGAACCAUGUGUUCUGCAUUUUCUAUUAAUGUAGUACAGGCUUGUCUUGGCAUUGAUGAAAAAUCUGCUGUCCAGACACCUCUGUACACAGUAAUUAUAUGCAUGGAGCUGUUCUGUAUGAAGUCAUCAGAUCUCAUGUGUUCCUUACACCUUGCAAAUAUGGAGCUAAAUCUUUUCAUGCAGUGGUGGGGAGGCAUUAUUCUUUAAGUGUUGUGGUAUUAAUUAGUAAUGGUAGGCUUCUAAAGCAAAAAAUAGAGACAUCUAUUUUCCUGGCGAAAGCUUCUAACGUCUUGAGUAUCUUGCUUUGAGGGGAUAGUUCACACAUCAGGUUUUGAUUCUUAGGCAGUUAUUUUCCAUUCUGAGAGAGCCAACUAUUACCCUAAAAGGUCAGUAUUUGGUUUCCAUGAUUAAUCAGACACUUGAGCUUCAUGGCUAUGUGCUGUUCCAUGCAGUUUUCUGUGUAAUACAGGUAUCUUUUUGCUGCAUCCUAGGUGGCUGUCUGGUGAUCCAGAAGACUCAGCAGUAGAGUUGAUUAUUUCUUCACUUCUUAGUCCACUGACUCCCACAGGGACUCCAACUAAGGCAUACCUUAGCAUUUCUCUGAAGGAAAAAAAAAAUGUGUAAGUCUUAAAUAGACUAUGAAAAACAAUUCAUAAGCAAUGGUAUCUUUGAAAAGCUUCUACCCAGAUGUCCUAAUGACUCUAUGAGUUUUUAGUUCUUGGGCUUUGAAGUGCCUUUGAAUCUUAUCUCUUUUGUGUGGAACAGUGUGAUUUGGAGUAAGUUGCUUAACUUCUUUAUUUGCAAAAGGGAACAGUUCACAUUUGAUGGCACUGGAUGAGAACCCGGACCUUAUUGAGAACUUAGCCAGAAUUCUCUCCAUUCUCCUAAUUUGAUGAUGUUGUAUGGCAAACACUGUUUAGAUGUUUACCCAACAAUCUCAUUCUUCCUUCCCUUGCUAAUAGAAUCCUAAUUAGUGUGAGAGAUAAUGUUUCUCCUACAUACACUUUGAGUGGCUGUAUUUAACGUAGCUCCGAUUGUGGAGACAAAAGAGGAAAUCUGCUGAGGUCCUGUCUUUGCUUUACUGACCAAAAGAGGACUCCAUGGCUGGCACCCAAUUCUCUCUUGCUGCCCUGCACACUGAUAUGAUAUCCAGAUAUCCAGACUGCAGCAGCCACGCUGUGCUCCUGAAGAAAAGGCUGAAAAGAUCAGAUGCCAUCUCUGACCUUGUGAAAAUGCCAACCCAGCGUCUACAUUCACUAUUUUUCAGGCUUUCAAUUGUGGACAAAUAAACCCUUACUUAUGCCUUUCUAUUCCCUUACUUGGCAAUUGAACACAUUCUUACCUGCUAUAUUAAGUAUUGUUAUUAUCCUUAAUCUCCAGAUGAAGAAAUUUUGGCCCAAUGAUGCUAAAUAAUUUGUCUGUUUUAUAAAGUUGGUCAGCAAUGGGAUUGGGUUUCAGAUCCCACAAGCCUGAAUUUAGAACUUGAGCUCUUAGCCAGUUACCUUAUGAUGUUUAGGGUAUGAAAUGAAAUUACUUAUAAAAAGCACUUUAGCAUUAACAUGGUACCUGGCAUGUAGGUAAUAUAUAUCAAAAUAUUAAGAGCUUUGUCAUAAUCUCAGCUGCAGGUUAGUGCUUACCAAUGGCCUCAGGUUUUGAUUUUCAUUCAGUUAUUUUCCAUUCUGAGGAGAGCCAAUUUUUAUUAUAAAAGGUUGUCAUUUGGUUUCCAUGCUCAAUUAAAUAAUUGUACUUAAUGGUUAUGGAAGGUACUCAGCAAAUUUUUUGACUGAGUGAUUGAAUAAUUCUGUUAAAAUUUCCCAGCUAUCACUUUUAGAAGGUCACUGUAUGCAUUUUGGAUAGGGAGCUAAAAUUUUAUAAAAUAAAUAACAUAGUACAGGGUUCAGUAGAAACUUGGCUGCCUCUUCAAAUCCAGCCUCCAUUCCUGACUGAUGGGCAAUAUGAUGUUGCACAAAUGACUUACUCUCUCAGUACCUAGUUUCUUUAUCUGUAAAGUGGAAAUAAUAAUAAUCUGAAUUAGCCAAGAGUAGUAUUGUUACAAUUAAUUAAAAUUAUAUGCUUAAAGGUUUUAAAAGGCACUGCUGGAGCCCUAAAUAAAUGUUAACUUUUAUAGCAAUAACUAUUACAAGUCUUUACUUAUUUAUUUGUACUCUACCAAAAUGAUUCCAGUGAAUGAUGCCAAGUCAAAAAACAAGAUUCAGGUAGAUGCGGUAAGUGAAAUGUGAAUCCAUGGUGACUUAGCUCUGUUCAAAUAUAGAAAGAUAAAAAAAAAAAAAAAAAAAAACACACACACACACACACACACAAAAACUUAGGUGUACUAGCUUAGUAGAGAGUGCCCUUGUGCAAAUGGUUUUCCAUUUCAAACUGUCACUCUGAGUCUCAGCAGUUAAUUUUCAAAACUAAAAAUAAAAAAAAAAGUGUCCUCUUACUUUGAAAAUUAUAAAAUUUCUCUCCUACCUAAUCCCCUCUCUUAGUUUCUCUUUUCACAUUUGCACAUAAACUUGUUUAUUUGAGAGGAAUCAAGCCAACUUGAUCAGGAAUGGAUAAUGUCAGCUCUACCUUACUGGCAGCUAAAAAAUGAAGCAGCUAUUAAUGACAAGGAAAACUAGCAAUUAUGUUAACUUAUGGAAUUCAACUUUUAAGACAGGAUUAUAAUUUAUGGAAAGGUGUGAAGAGAUCUGUAGAUUCAUUCCCCAGAGAAACAACUGUGAUUGGUGAGAACUAUAAAAACAGAACUGUUUAAAAUCUUUGGAAAUUGUCCUAAGAACAUACUGCAAAUAUUUACUUUAAAAAAUCUACUAAAUAUAGAAGAACUAUAAUGGCAGUUAGUAGCACUUGAACCAUGACUUCCUCCUCCCUCCAUCUACCCCCCCACACACCCCUGCCAAAUUUAGUGGAAGCUCCACUCCAGGCAUAUGUGGCCAAAAAGAUCUUCCAUUCAUCUCAGCUCUUAAGGAAUACAGUAUCUCACCAGCAGGGACAAGUAAACAACAUUUACACUUCUCUCCAACUUUAAUUUUUAGAAAUCAUCAUUUUCUGGUGAAUAUAGCAAAAUAUUAGGGGCCCAACCCCAAUUCACUGAGAGGAUAUUGCCUUAACCUAGGGUCAGGAAGAGUUGUCACUCUAAGAGAUGCAGGCCACUGUCUCUGUCAAGACCAGAAAGGCUCAGAGAUUUUGCCCAAGGGAGAAGAUACAGCUGAUAAGACCAGAGGAUUCCAUAUUCUUUCCCAAAGGAACUGUGGCGUGAGGGGAAGUUCAGCCCUAAGCCCGCUCUCUAAAACACUGGAGAUUUGAUGGUAAUAAAAGAGGUUGGUAGUUCUAUGAGAACAAGAUGCUAAACUAUAGGCCAGAUAAUUUACUGGAGAGAAACAGGAAAAUGCCUACUGAGAAUCUUCCUAAAGAACAAGAAAAAGAAACCCUUGGUGACUGACCUCAAAACAAACAAACAAAAACAAAGCAAAUCACAUACACAAAAAAACUUGCCUGAAUUUGUUAGAUGAAACUGUGGACCAGUUCUCAUCCCAGGGCAUUGUUGAAAAGAGUGGACCAAUCAGCAGGCAGUUAGUAGAACCUAUUAGCUGGGUGGGAUAUAAUAAACAGAGAUGAUUAAACAGAUCAAGGAGAGACUGCUAAAGCCACUGUCAUGCUAGGGUGACUGCAGAGGCCAGACACUUCACACUGUGUCUUGUGGGGGGGGGGGGUGACAGGAGGAAUUGGAUUUUAUUAAAAUAGUGUAGCUGAGUUACUAAAUCAAUAAACAAGAAAAAUUAUGUCAGAGUGGAGAGAAAUCUGUAUCCAGACUUGCUAUUUCAUAUUACUUAAAAUGUCCUUAGAGCGACAGAAAA